UGAGGGCAAGUCUGGUGCCAGCAGCCGCGGUAAUUCCAGCUCCAAUAGCGUAUAUUAAAGUUGUUGCAGUUAAAAAGCUCGUAGUUGAACUUCGGGAUCAAGGGAUCGGUCAUGCCUUGGUAUGUACUGGUCUUAUUGGUUCUCACCUUCUAAAGAACCAUAAUGUCAUUCAUUUGAUGUUAUGGGGAAUUAGGACUGUUACCUUGAAAAAAUUAGAGUGUUUAAAGCAGGCUUACGCUUGAAUACAUUAGCAUGGAAUAAUGAAAUAGGACAUCCGAUUCUAUUUUGUUGGUUUCUAGGAUCGAUGUAAUGAUUAAUAGGGAUAGUUGGGGGCAUUAGUAUUCAAUUGUCAGAGGUGAAAUUCUUGGAUUUAUUGAAGACUAACUACUGCGAAAGCAUUUGCCAAGGAUGUUUUCAUUAAUCAAGAACGAAAGUUAGGGGAUCGAAGACGAUCAGAUACCGUCGUAGUCUUAACCAUAAACUAUGCCGACUAGGGAUCGGAUGAUGUUAAUUUUUUAAUGACUCAUUCGGCGCCUUACGGAAACA
Molecule: ribosomal RNA, 546 nt
Filed under: uncultured Rhizophagus
Lineage: Eukaryota; Fungi; Glomeromycota; Glomeromycetes; Glomerales; Glomeraceae
Description: SSU rRNA
Rfam family: Eukaryotic small subunit ribosomal RNA
Source: RNAcentral